GUCGAGGUGGACUCCGGGAGAACAUAAUGUGACAGUAAAUUCAGAUAGUUCUUUGGUUUACAAGCUUCAGCCUGAGAAAAGAAUCUGAAAAGCCUCUUGGCCUCCAGUAAGUCUGUCAUCAUGACUUCUUGACAUCACUCCUCACCAUGAGUGGAGCUGCGCUGGCCGUCGUGGUCGUGGUUGUUUUCUUCCUGGCCCUCUGCCUCCUCCAGCGUUAUGGAGACUUGCGGAAGCAGCAGCGGUUGGUGCUGUUGGGGACGCUGCUGUCCUGGUACCUCUGCUUCCUCAUCGUCUUCAUCCUGCCACUUGAUGUCAGCACGACCAUCUACAAGCAGUGUGUUCUUGACAAGGCCAACCACACUGGUACUGUAACCGGAAUAAGACGCUUAGCUCACACUGGGGCUGACUCAUCUCUUCAUUCCUC
Molecule: long non-coding RNA, 424 nt
Organism: Stegastes partitus (bicolor damselfish)
Lineage: Eukaryota; Metazoa; Chordata; Actinopteri; Pomacentridae
Exons: 3
Source: RefSeq, a predicted model, not a curated record